UGCAAGUCGAACGGCAGCACGGGAGCUUGCUCCUGGUGGCGAGUGGCGAACGGGUGAGUAAUAUAUCGGAAACGUAUCCAAUAAUGGGGGAUAACUAAUCGAAAGGUUGGCUAAUACCGCAUACGCCCUGAGGGGGAAAGCUGGGGAACUUCGGACCUAGCGUUAAUGGAGCGGCCGAUAUCUGAUUAGCUAGUUGGUGGGGUAAAGGCCCACCAAGGCGACGAAUCAGUAGCUGGUCUGAGAGGACGACCAGCCACACUGGAACUGAGACACGGUCCAGACUCCUACGGGAGGCAGCAGUGGGGAAUUUUGGACAAUGGGCGCAAGCCUGAUCCAGCCAUUCCGCGUGAGUGAAGAAGGCCUUCGGGUUGUAAAGCUCUUUCGCAAGGGAAGAAACGAUUUAGGUGAAUAAUCUAAGUUAAUGACGGUACCUUGAUAAGAAGCACCGGCUAACUACGUGCCAGCAGCCGCGGUAAUACGUAGGGUGCGAGCGUUAAUCGGAAUUACUGGGCGUAAAGCGUGCGCAGGCUGUUUUGUAAGUCAGAUGUGAAAUCCCCGAGCUCAACUUGGGAACUGCGUUUGAAACUACAAGACUAGAAUAUGUCA
This 606-nucleotide ribosomal RNA is filed under the name uncultured bacterium. Its description in RNAcentral is "bacterial SSU rRNA". It matches the Rfam family "Bacterial small subunit ribosomal RNA", at positions 56 to 653 of the family's 1533-position model. The record is from RNAcentral.